AAUCGCGAAAACCGCAAAACUGUUUUUUCCCUACUCCUCCCACAUUUCUCGACCAAUCAACACCAAACUUUGCACACGACAUCUUCAGACGCACACGAAAAGAAAAACUCAAACACUUUUUGAUCCGACCUUCGAUUACGAAACGGUAGCAUUUUGAAUAUUUGUUUAUUAGCUACGUUUUACGUCGAAACGCAAAAAUUCAAAAAAUACGAAAAUUACACAUCGGAUCAAGUCCAAAUUUUAGACACAUGUCGGUGCUACCCUUAAUGGCGUUCAAUAAAGAAUUCGGAAUGUUUCGCCAUUAGGGGGCGCAAUAAACGAGGAAAUUGUAUAUCUUCUAAUUGGCCAAAGGAAUGUUCUUCAAACUCAAGGGAAACCAUCAAGGGGCAAACCCGAGUCUAUAUAGAAAAUAUGGCCAAGAAUCAUUAAUGUGGGCGGGAUUUAUUUGGCAAAGGAAAAUUGUCUUUGGAAAAUUGCAAAUUUCGCCACAGGGCGGCGCCAAAAAACGACGACAUUGUCGAUCUCCUAUUUGGCCAAUGGAAUGUUCUGAAAACGCGUUUUAGGCUAUAACUCCCACACCGAAGCUCCCACAGUCAAAACCUUUAUAUCCACAUGAUGUUCACGGUAGCGUUUUAAAUACUUGCUUCGCGUUGUGCCGGCGAAAUGCACAUUUCUUGUCGCGUUGUGCCGGCGAAAUGCACACUUCUUGGACCCCUGCAUAACUGCUUGCAGUUCUAGUAUGUUAUUAUUAUUAUAUCAUGACUAUGACCAUGUGUAUACGCGGCCCAUAUCUGAUUGAUACAUAGUUUUUCCGUAGUGAUUUCUGACGUCGGCUAUGAGAGCGUGAAAAGGCAUCAGCAGGUGCUGAUAUUCGGUUGAAUAAUCAAAGAUCGAUACUCGGUGAUCGGACCAAUGUGGGGUCCAGCAGUAGUUAUGUGCCUAUCGUGGAUGGUGUGAAACAGUGGACCCCUGGAUCAAACCGUCUAACCAAGAAAAAUAACAAAAGACCCCAUCUAGGACCGGCUCUACCUCUACCCAGCUCUCCGCUAGCAGUGGUGCAACAGCAGAUCCCGUAUAAAAAGGGACGCAAGGACACCGCACAUAGUGUUUUAACUCCAGAGAAUCUUAACUUGGUUCUCCAUGCUGUUAUAAACCCUGAAAUCGCCCGCCAAGGGGGUGGAUGGUCUGAGUCCAAACAGCCGUUGAUUGAGACAUCAGUUGUACCUGUGUCUGAGCCGCCUGCAGAGACCGUUACUGUACAGCCGGAUGGAGGCAUUCAGCAUGUCCUUGGAGACCCUCAGGAUGCACCACUACCAGAACUGACCGAUGAGGAUCUCGAGGGUCUUACCGACGUUCCGUUGUGGCCCUCAGCGCUGUUGGAACAGCUCGACUUCACUCCCGCUCAUUGGAUAGACCCUCCAGCUACUUCCGUAGUGGGUACCACCAGGGCAGAGCCUGUAAACCAUCAGCCUGCAGCCCCCGCCUCUGGAUCACGACCCAUCCUCAUCCAGGCCUCUAUCCACAAUCCACCAGGCACUGUGAGUCGUCCCACCGCCAUCGGAGCAGUGGCUAGGCUGCUACCCGACGGCUCAGCGGCUGCUGCUGAAUACAUUGCGGGUGGUCCAUGUACCAACUGUUGUAAGGCUUGUGUUGGUAAAUUAACCUUGGUAACUAAAGCAGUUGAUGUAAACUCCUUAACCAUUGGUCGUCAGUGUAAACUGGGUGCAUUGUCUGUGAAACGUAUUGACAGCAGAUUUCAGACUAUCGAAGAGCAAACUAAGCAGUCACUCGAGACCCUCGGGGAAAUCAAGGACGAGCUAGUGCGUUACGGUCUGGCUAUAGAAUCAAUACAGCAGCAGAUUUUGGUUGUCGAGGCAGCAGUGCGUGUUAACACUCUGGCUUUGGAUAGUGGGCUUCUGAUAUCUAAUAUGGCGCGGAAAAUUUGGCUAAUUGAAACUAGGGCGCAGGAUAACAUCAGGGCCUACAAGGCCAUGUCUGCCCAGAUGACUAUCAUGAAUGAUGCUCUGGAUAUGCUUACGAUGAAUCGUUAGUAUUUGAUUUGUGGUUUUGGGGUGUUCUUUUUAUUUUUAUUUUAUUUAUUUUUUUCUUUUCGUUUAUUAUGUGGAGAGGGUAUUUUUUUGUUUUAAACUGAACGUAAUAAAACGUUUUUCUUUUAAUAUCUGACUAAUUCACUUUUUUAUCUAUUGGCAUAAAAACUAUAGCUGAACACAAUGCAUAAAGCUAUUAGCCCCAGAAAAAGGAAAUUCAAAUCUGUAGACGGUAAUCCCAAGAGACGGCGUAGAUCUGAUAGCGGGGGUAGCAUUAUGGAUGUAGAUCUUGAAGAGAUGGCUAUGAGGUAUGAUGCAACCGGCGAUGCGUCCCAUCUGCUGUCUGUAGGACGCGUGGGGGGUGGGGGGAUGAGUGCUGAAGGUGGUUUAGACAUGCGGGAAAUACGUACUGACAUAGCUAGAACUAGACGUGUGUUAAUUGAUGCUGAUGCAUGGGGGGGUAGAAUGACGGAUGCACUAGACAGGGCUGCUAUGAUAAAUGUUUCGAACGAUCCAUGUGUGGGGUUAGAUGUCCCCGGGGCUUUAGACACACGGGAUGUGUUGUAUGCGGCGGCAUACACCAGAGAUGUGAAAUCCCUUGAAAAUUUUCAAGGGAUAUACUUCUCAGAUCAAUGGUCUGUCUAACCUCAAAACCGUUAAAGCGGGGAAAUAAUCUAGUAUGCAACUCGUCAUCAUCAUCACCCGCCGCCAUAGGCGCAGCAGGUGUACCAUCAACGUCAACAACACCACCACCACCACCACCACCACCACCGCCACCGUCCUGUAUAUUCGACUCUAUAGCGUCACCAGUCCUACCCCCUGCAGCCGCCGGGGGUUCCUGAAAACCCUCACCAUCCCCUUCGUCACGUUGCGACACAUGCAUUACAUCCAUUGGUGAUGUAAUGUCUAUCUGCUCGGCUAUGUCUAGCCUCUCUUGUACACUAUCCAGCCACCCAUCGACAGUGUUAAGUACAUCUCUGGUGUAUGCCGCCGCAUACAACACAUCCCGUGUGUCUAAACCCCCGGGGACAUCUAACCCCACACAUGGAUCGUUCGAAACAUUUAUCAUAGCAGCCCUGUCUAGUGUAUCCGUCAUUCUACCCCCCCAUGCAUCAGCAUCAAUUAACACACGUCUAGUUCUAGCUAUGUCAGUACGUAUUUCCCGCAUGUCUAAACCACCUUCAGCACUCAUCCCCCCACCCCCCACGCGUCCUACAGACAGCAGAUGGGACGCAUCGCCGGUUGCAUCAUACCUCAUAGCCAUCUCUUCAAGAUCUACAUCCAUAAUGCUACCCCCGCUAUCAGAUCUACGCCGUCUCUUGGGAUUACCGUCUACAGAUUUGAAUUUCCUUUUUCUGGGGCUAAUAGCUUUAUGCAUUGUGUUCAGCUAUAGUUUUUAUGCCAAUAGAUAAAAAAGUGAAUUAGUCAGAUAUUAAAAGAAAAAAGUUUUAUUACGUUCAGUUUAAAACAAAAAAAUAUCCUCUCCACAUAAUAAACGAAAAGAAAAAAAUAAAUAAAAUAAAAAUAAAAAGAACACC
Molecule: long non-coding RNA, 3586 nt
Filed under: Gadus morhua (Atlantic cod)
Lineage: Eukaryota; Metazoa; Chordata; Actinopteri; Gadiformes; Gadidae
Description: lncRNA (ENSGMOG00000026779.1)
Source: RNAcentral